GAUGAAGAACGCAGCGAAAUGCGAUAAGUAAUGUGAAUUGCAGAAUUCAGUGAAUCAUCGAAUCUUUGAACGCACAUUGCGCCCCCUGGUAUUCCGGGGGGCAUGCCUGUCCGAGCGUCAUUACAACCCUCAAGCUCAGCUUGGUGUUGGGCCCCGCCGCCCCGGCGGGCCCUAAAGUCAGUGGCGGUGCCGUCCGGCUCCGAGCGUAGUAAUUCUUCUCGCUCUGGAGGUCCGGUCGUGUGCUCGCCAGCAACCCCCAAUUUUUUUCAGGUUGACCUCGGAUCAGGUAGGGAUACCCGCUGAACUUAAGCAUAUCCAAUAAGCGGAGGA
This 330-nucleotide unclassified non-coding RNA is filed under the name soil metagenome. RNAcentral's name for it is "partial contains 5.8S ribosomal RNA, internal transcribed spacer 2, and large subunit ribosomal RNA". The stretch from base 1 to 120 matches the Rfam family "5.8S ribosomal RNA", at positions 35 to 154 of the family's 154-position model. The record is from RNAcentral.